This 466-nucleotide ribosomal RNA is filed under the name uncultured Gammaproteobacteria bacterium. RNAcentral describes it as "bacterial SSU rRNA". It matches the Rfam family "Bacterial small subunit ribosomal RNA", at positions 60 to 524 of the family's 1533-position model. Lineage: Bacteria; Pseudomonadati; Pseudomonadota; Gammaproteobacteria. The record is from RNAcentral.
AGUCGAGCGAGAAAGGUCUUCGGACUGAGUAGAGCGGCGGACGGGUGAGUAACGCGUAGAUAUCUACCUGGUAGUGGGGGACAACCUGGUGAAAACCAGGCUAAUACCGCAUACGCCCUACGGGGGAAAGCGGGGGAUCUUCGGACCUCGCGCUAUCAGAUGAGUCUGCGUUGGAUUAGCUAGUUGGUGGGGUAAAAGCCUACCAAGGCGACGAUCCAUAGCUGGUCUGAGAGGACGAUCAGCCACACUGGGACUGAGACACGGCCCAGACUCCUACGGGAGGCAGCAGUGGGGAAUAUUGCACAAUGGGCGAAAGCCUGAUGCAGCCAUGCCGCGUGUGUGAAGAAGGCUCUAGGGUUGUAAAGCACUUUCAAUUGGGAGAAAAAGUUAAUGGUUAAUAGCCAUUAGCCUUGAUGUUACCUUUAGAAGAAGCACCGGCUAACUCCGUGCCAGCAGCCGCGGUAAU